Scylla paramamosain (green mud crab) is the source of this 1133-nucleotide long non-coding RNA. RefSeq lists it as uncharacterized. The record is from RefSeq and is a predicted model, not a curated record. Lineage: Eukaryota; Metazoa; Arthropoda; Malacostraca; Decapoda; Portunidae. The transcript is spliced from 3 exons.
GGCAGGUUCGCUUCGCCUUGCCUUUCGCGGUGGACUUUUUGGGUGAGUCAGCGGCCCGCACACGCCGGUCCAUUAAUAAAACUUUCGCCAUCAAUGAAAGUUGGCGCAGUGUUAUCAGGCGAGCCAUCAGCGGGUGUGGUGAUACCAGUGGCACGCCUGGCCGCAACACGCCUACCAGCCCACACCCGCAGGCCUGCUCACCGCCACGCCACGCCUUUACCUCCACCUCAAACUACCCGUAUCUACCCAUUCCAUCGGCAACAUUUACUAUUAGCCUGGUCCACCCAUACACACCUGAAGGCCCCGUGUCUAUGCCUCCACACCACUGCUCCUCCCUUUAGACACUACAACAAGGAAUGCUAACGUGCUGAGGUGCCACAUUAAACGGAGGAAAAGAACGUAGGGGGCAGGGGGCGGCGAGGGAAUGGAGUGCAAUAAGCCCCCCUCUGCGGUAAUGCAGCGAACUGCAAACACUCCAAAAGCACACUCCAUGUAUUCGAUCACUGCAUAUCAUGAGUCUCGGAGUGGCAAGGGAGUGGCGCCCUGCCCAGCGAGGUGGUCCUACCCGCCACGCUGGACACACGGAGGGAGUGGGCAAGAGACUGCAGGGAACCGGACCAUGGCGGAGCACGUGUAUACUCACUGCCUCAUUAAUACCUUAAAUCUACCGUGUUGAGAGGACACAAGAGGAAAAAUCCAAUUUUAGCCAUACUGUUACUGUUAUCGCUCAAAUAACCAUGCAGAAAUAUUUCAUGAUGUUACGAAUAUCAUUUUCCACUGGGAUUUCUGUCUGUAUUUAAUUAUAUAACAAAUUGUAAUGAAAUUCGUCACAAACUAGUACCAAGAUAAAAAGAAAAGGUAGUGGACACUUUCUUUCAUAUUUAAAAGUAGCAUGUUGACGUGUGACAGUGCUGCCCCAGAAUGACGUGCGGCGGACGAGCGGGCGGCAGACAGGUGAGGGCAGGCUGGCCGAUGUAUGAGGGUGUAGGCGAGGGGGUUACGUGACCAGUCAAGUGCUCGUACAGUCCACCUCUCCCAAGCCAUACCAGUCUUUCUUCCCCCUCCCGCCCCGUCCUGCGCCCCAUCACAUUUUGCCUGCCCCUCCCGCCCCUCCCGCCCCGUCCUGUUCCCCA